RNAcentral lists this ribosomal RNA (433 nucleotides) under uncultured bacterium. Its description in RNAcentral is "partial 16S ribosomal RNA". It matches the Rfam family "Bacterial small subunit ribosomal RNA", at positions 29 to 507 of the family's 1533-position model. The record is from RNAcentral.
AACGAACGCUGGCGGCAUGCCUAAUACAUGCAAGUCGAACGAGAUCUUCGGAUCUAGUGGCGCACGGGUGCGUAACGCGUGGGAAUCUGCCCUUGGGUUCGGAAUAACUUCUGGAAACGGAAGCUAAUACCGGAUGAUGACGUAAGUCCAAAGAUUUAUCGCCCAAGGAUGAGCCCGCGUAGGAUUAGGUAGUUGGUGAGGUAAAGGCUCACCAAGCCGACGAUCCUUAGCUGGUCUGAGAGGAUGAUCAGCCACACUGGGACUGGGACACGGCCCAGACUCCUACGGGAGGCAGCAGUAGGGAAUAUUGGACAAUGGGCGAAAGCCUGAUCCAGCAAUGCCGCGUGAGUGAUGAAGGCCUUAGGGUUGUAAAGCUCUUUUACCCGGGAUGAUAAUGACAGUACCGGGAGAAUAAGCUCCGGUUAACUCCGUG